RNAcentral lists this ribosomal RNA (801 nucleotides) under uncultured Rubrobacter sp. Its description in RNAcentral is "bacterial SSU rRNA". It matches the Rfam family "Bacterial small subunit ribosomal RNA", at positions 8 to 796 of the family's 1533-position model. The record is from RNAcentral. Lineage: Bacteria; Bacillati; Actinomycetota; Rubrobacteria; Rubrobacterales; Rubrobacteraceae.
AGAGUUUGAUCAUGGCUCAGGACGAACGCUGACGGUGUGCUUUAGACAUGCAAGUCGAACGAGAAAGCCCUUCGGGGUGAGUACAGUGGCGAACGGGUGAGUAACACGUGGGUAACCUGCCCCUCGCAGGGGGACAACCGGGGGAAACCCCGGCUAAUACCCCGUACGCUCCGAGGUCCGCAUGGGCCACGGAGGAAAGGUAGCUUCGGCCAUCCGGCGAGGGAUGGGCCCGCGGUCCAUUAGCUAGUUGGUGGGGUAACGGCCUACCAAGGCAACGAUGGAUAGCUGGUCUGAGAGGAUGAUCAGCCACACUGGGACUGAGACACGGCCCAGACUCCUACGGGAGGCAGCAGUCGGGAAUCUUGCGCAAUGGGCGAAAGCCUGACGCAGCAACACCGUGUGGGCGACGAAGGCCCUCGGGUCGUAAAGCCCUGUUGUUGGGGACGAAGGGCGAAGGGUUAAUAGCCCCUAGCCUGACGGUACCCUUCGAGGAAGCCCCGGCUAACUACGUGCCAGCAGCCGCGGUAAUACGUGGGGGGCGAGCGUUGUCCGGAAUUAUUGGGCGUAAAGAGCGUGUAGGCGGCUUGGUAAGUCUGCCGUGAAAACCCGGGGCUCAACCCCGGGCGUGCGGUGGAUACUGCCAGGCUAGAGGAUGGUAGAGGCGAGUGGAAUUCCCGGUGUAGCGGUGAAAUGCGCAGAUAUCGGGAGGAACACCAGCAGCGAAGGCGGCUCGCUGGGCCAUUCCUGACGCUGAGACGCGAAAGCUAGGGGAGCGAACAGGAUUAGAUACCCCGGUAGUCC